UUGGCUUAUGAAUUUCAUAAAACUUUGGCUCGUGCCAAAACUCAUACUCGGUGAUACCUUGCGCAGGGCAUCUAACCGAGUCCGUCAAGGCUGUUAAAAUUUUGAUACACUUAAAAUAUAUUUUAGUUUGAGAAAAAUACAGCCAUUCCUUAGCGUUGACUGAGUUCCCCUUCACGUGGUGGUUUGGCGUGAAGUAAAUCCUAAGCUUUACCCCAGGAGAUACCCUACGCGCCUCUCCGUUCGAGGUAAUAAUAUAAUGGAGUUUACCGUGCCCCUCUAAUAGGCUGGUCCACGGAACUC
Molecule: long non-coding RNA, 300 nt
Filed under: Theobroma cacao (cacao)
Lineage: Eukaryota; Viridiplantae; Streptophyta; Magnoliopsida; Malvales; Malvaceae
Description: long non-coding RNA (TCAC_LNC004786)
Source: RNAcentral